This 477-nucleotide long non-coding RNA is filed under the name Arachis ipaensis. RNAcentral's name for it is "long non-coding RNA (AIPA_LNC001791)". Lineage: Eukaryota; Viridiplantae; Streptophyta; Magnoliopsida; Fabales; Fabaceae. The record is from RNAcentral.
ACUCAUCACUUUUGAUAAUGUUAAGAAAGAUAGUGGUGGUUGUGAUGGUAGCAACAUCUGCAAUGUCUUCUACACCAUGGAUGCCAUGCCCGUCGUCACUACCUUGUAAUGCUCGGCCAGUAAAGGACAACAUGAACCAAGGUGAAGAUGAAUUUUAUGUGGAACAAGACUAUAACAUUUGGGAUCCUGCUCCAGUUUACAGUGGAGGAGGUAAAUCCGCUCCGGUUCCUCAUCCAGGAGAGAAACCAUGAUCAUGAUGAGAGUCAUGCUUUUUUAAUUUUAUUUCCAACCAUCGUCACUAGCUACCUUAAUUGGUAAUGUAUGUUUUUAUUAGUUUCCAAGCACGCUACUCUUUUAACUUUUGAUGUACAUGAACUAGCACGCACUUUUAUCAUCUUUAGUUUGACUUUGAUAAUAAUAUUAAUAAUUUUAAAGAAGUCUACUUUGUUUGUUCAUUUCAUGAACGAAAUUGAGAAU